This 446-nucleotide ribosomal RNA is filed under the name uncultured bacterium. Its description in RNAcentral is "bacterial SSU rRNA". It matches the Rfam family "Bacterial small subunit ribosomal RNA", at positions 329 to 792 of the family's 1533-position model. The record is from RNAcentral.
UGCCAGACUCCUACGGGAGGCAGCAGUGGGGAAUAUUGCACAAUGGGGGAAACCCUGAUGCAGCAACGCCGCGUGAGUGAAGAAGUAUUUCGGUAUGUAAAGCUCUAUCAGCAGGGAAGAAAAUGACGGUACCUGAGUAAGAAGCCCCGGCUAACUACGUGCCAGCAGCCGCGGUAAUACGUAGGGGGCAAGCGUUAUCCGGAUUUACUGGGUGUAAAGGGAGCGUAGACGGCGAUACAAGUCUGAAGUGAAAGCCCGGGGCUCAACCCCGGGACUGCUUUGGAAACUGUGUUGCUGGAGUGCUGGAGAGGCAAGCGGAAUUCCUAGUGUAGCGGUGAAAUGCGUAGAUAUUAGGAGGAACACCAGUGGCGAAGGCGGCCUGCUGGACGGUGACUGACGCUGAGGCUCGAAAGCGUGGGGAGCGAACAGGAUUAGAUACCCUAGUA